CACACUUAAACCAUCCUCUGGAUCAUAAUUUUCUAUAUAUUCCACCACUCAUUCUACAUCAAUUGGUAGUAGUUCAUCUGAUCCUCGCAAAAACGUAAAUAACUAUGCAUUUCUAAAAUCUUUUUGCUUUUUCAAUGACCAACAGAUAUCUAACUUCAUCGAUUCCAUGUUGGUGAUAACUACAAGAGACGGCAAUCCCAGAUUGCACUUA
RNAcentral lists this long non-coding RNA (211 nucleotides) under Physcomitrium patens. Its description in RNAcentral is "long non-coding RNA (PPAT_LNC005773)". The record is from RNAcentral. Lineage: Eukaryota; Viridiplantae; Streptophyta; Bryopsida; Funariales; Funariaceae.